Long non-coding RNA from Olea europaea var. sylvestris, 548 nucleotides. RefSeq lists it as uncharacterized. Lineage: Eukaryota; Viridiplantae; Streptophyta; Magnoliopsida; Lamiales; Oleaceae. The record is from RefSeq and is a predicted model, not a curated record. The transcript has 3 exons.
CCUUUUCACCCUCUCUAGCAGACGUGACAGUGUUUCUCUCUCGUCCUUCACCAUCUCCGAAGUCUGCACGUUGCUUCUUGAGUAGUUGAGUUAAUCUAUUGCUCUCGUCUACCGUCUGCAUAGUGCUAGUCAUCGCCCGUCGUCGUCGAAACUCUACGGUUCUAGAAGGUGUUAUCGAGUAUAGAUGGAAUGCUUUGCCUGUUGAACAACGAGAUGGCAUGAAAAACUAUGUUUUUGAAGUUAUAGUUAAGCUGCAAAAACAAGUGACGAGAUCUCUAUAUGUGAGAAUUGCAUGGCUACACUGAAAGUGAGGCAGUAAUCCCAUAUAUCCUUGGUUUUUUGGGAAUAUGUACAUGCAGUUGACAUAGAUGUUACUUGUCAGCUUCUAAGUGAAGAGGUCUUUGACUUUUCAAGAGGUGAAAUGACUCAGUGGAAGAUUAAAGAGUUGAAACAAUCACUAAACAGGUUACAAUUUAGUUGAUGAUGAUGCUGGACGAAUAGCUGCUUAUAAUAAACCGAAGCAUAGGGCUUUGUGAUUGGCCUAUAAU